UCUCUGAUAGCUCAGUUGGUAAAGAAUCUGCCUGCAAUGCAGGAAACCCUGGUUCGAUUCCUGGGUUGGGAA
RNAcentral lists this transfer RNA (72 nucleotides) under Ovis aries (sheep). It matches the Rfam family "tRNA". Rfam says of the family: Transfer RNA (tRNA) molecules are approximately 80 nucleotides in length. Their secondary structure includes four short double-helical elements and three loops (D, anti-codon, and T loops). The record is from Rfam by way of RNAcentral. Lineage: Eukaryota; Metazoa; Chordata; Mammalia; Artiodactyla; Bovidae.